RNAcentral lists this ribosomal RNA (446 nucleotides) under uncultured bacterium. Its description in RNAcentral is "bacterial SSU rRNA". It matches the Rfam family "Bacterial small subunit ribosomal RNA", at positions 330 to 792 of the family's 1533-position model. The record is from RNAcentral.
UCCAGACUCCUACGGGAGGCAGCAGUGGGGAAUAUUGCACAAUGGGGGGAACCCUGAUGCAGCGACGCCGCGUGGGUGAAGGAGUAUUUCGGUAUGUAAAGCCCUAUCAGCAGGGAAGAACAAUGACGGUACCUGACUAAGAAGCACCGGCUAAAUACGUGCCAGCAGCCGCGGUAAUACGUAGGGGGCAAGCGUUAUCCGGAUUUACUGGGUGUAAAGGGGGCGCAGACGGCGAUGCAAGCCAGGAGUGAAAGCCCGGGGCCCAACCCCGGGACUGCUCUUGGAACUGCGUGGCUGGAGUGCAGGAGGGGCAGGCGGAAUUCCUGGUGUAGCGGUGAAAUGCGUAGAUAUCAGGAGGAACACCGGUGGCGAAGGCGGCCUGCUGGACUGCAACUGACGUUGAGGCCCGAAAGCGUGGGGAGCAAACAGGAUUAGAUACCCCAGUA